AGUGAACGCUGGCGGUAGGCCUAACACAUGCAAGUCGAACGGCAGCACAGUAAGAGCUUGCUCUUACGGGUGGCGAGUGGCGGACGGGUGAGGCAUACAUCGGAAUCUACUUUUUCGUGGGGGAUAACGUAGGGAAACUUACGAUAAUACCGCAUACGACCUACGGGUGAAAGCAGGGGAUCUUCGCACUUUGCCCGACUGAAUGAGCCGAUGUCGGAUUAGCUAGUUGGUGGGGUAAAGGCACACCAAGGCGACGAUCCGUAGCUGGUCUGAGAGGAUGAUCAGCCACACUGGAACUGAGACACGGUCCAGACUCCUACGGGAGGCAGCAGUAGGGAAUAUUGGGCAAUGGGCGCAAGCCUGAUCCAGCCAUGCCGCGUGGGUGAAGAAGGCCUUCGGGUUGUAAAGCUCUGUUGUUGGGAAAGAAAAGCAGCAGGUGAAUACCCCGCUGUUCUGACGGUACCCAAAGAGUAAGCACCGGCUAACUUCGUG
This 492-nucleotide ribosomal RNA is filed under the name uncultured bacterium. Its description in RNAcentral is "partial 16S ribosomal RNA". It matches the Rfam family "Bacterial small subunit ribosomal RNA", at positions 29 to 507 of the family's 1533-position model. The record is from RNAcentral.